GGGUGAGUAACACGUGGAGAACCUUCCCUUUCAGCGGGGGAUAACCCUUGGAAACGAUGACUAAUACCGCAUAGGACUUUGAGUCACCUGACUUAAAGAGGAAAGCCGGCUUCGGCUGUCACUGAAAGAGGGCUCCGCGGUGCAUUAGCUAGACGGUAAGGUAACGGCUUACCAUGGCCAUGAUGCAUAGCCGACAUGAGAGGGUGAUCGGCCACAUUGGGACUGAGACACGGCCCAAACUCCUACGGGAGGCAGCAGUAGGGAAUCUUCCGCAAUGGACGCAAGUCUGACGGAGCAACGCCGCGUGUGUGAAGAAGGUCUUCGGAUCGUAAAGCACUGUUGUUAGAGAAGAACACCCGGUAGAGUAACUGCUACCGGACUGACGGUAUCUAACCAGAAAGCCACGGCUAACUACGUGCCAGCAGCCGCGGUAAUACGUAGGUGGCAAGCGUUGUCCGGAUUUAUUGGGCGUAAAGGGAGCGCAGGUGGUGACUUAAGUCUGAUGUGAAAGCCCACGGCUCAACCGUGGAGGGUCAUUGGAAACUGGGUCACUUGAGUACAGAAGAGGUAAGUGGAAUUCCAAGUGUAGCGGUGAAAUGCGUAGAUAUUUGGAGGAACACCAGUGGCGAAGGCGACUUACUGGUCUGUAAUUGACGCUGAGGCUCGAAAGCGUGGGUAGCAAACAGGAUUAGAUACCCUGGUAGUCCACGCCGUAAACGAUGAGUGCUAAGUGUUAGGGGGUUUCCGCCCCUUAGUGCUGGAGUUAACGCAUUAA
RNAcentral lists this ribosomal RNA (775 nucleotides) under uncultured bacterium. Its description in RNAcentral is "bacterial SSU rRNA". It matches the Rfam family "Bacterial small subunit ribosomal RNA", at positions 104 to 863 of the family's 1533-position model. The record is from RNAcentral.